AUUUUUAUUAAUAUUAAUUCAUGUGGCAAUGUGUCGUGGCUGAUGAAGGAACUAGACAACACGUAGUGGUCUUAAAAUAUUGGUUGGCCAACACUGAUGUAUGGAAGAGCUACAGAAGAAGGGGGAUGCAAAGAUAGUAAGGAGUAAGGACAAUCUCAUUCUGAACUUAUGUUUUGAUUUUCUUUCUUUGAAUUAUUGUGUCGUGUUUUUGCUGUAGAUUUAUUGUGCAAAGAUAGUAAGGACAAUCUUAUUCUUAAUUUAUUUUUUUUUCUUUGAAUUAUUUUGUGCCUUUUGUUAUUGAUUCAUGCGGAGGUAUCAAUUGACUCCAAGAGUAACUCAAUAGAAUUACUCUCAAUCUUCACCCCCAGUUUGAUUUAAAUCUUACGGUUUUAAAGUUUGUUUUGAUUACUUAUCAUGUGUCUGUGUUAUAGGUCUCAUUUCUCCUAAAUGCAUCGUCAAAGAAUUUAUCCAGAAACUCAAAUGAAUUUAUCCAGAAACACCAUAUUUGUCCUCAAAUCGUCAUAGUCUUCAAAUUGCAACGCUGUACUCCUCUUCACGCAUCACAAAAUCUUCGUUCAAUCUCACAUCGUCCCCUUCUCUCAUGGUUGAUCGCCUUGCUCUGUCUUCAAUCUCAGAUUGUUGCAAUCCCAAAGUGUCUUUGCCCUCACUCUGCCACACGAUACAAACAAAAUA
RNAcentral lists this long non-coding RNA (693 nucleotides) under Trifolium pratense (red clover). RNAcentral's name for it is "long non-coding RNA (TPRA_LNC014329)". The record is from RNAcentral. Lineage: Eukaryota; Viridiplantae; Streptophyta; Magnoliopsida; Fabales; Fabaceae.